Molecule: ribosomal RNA, 775 nt
Filed under: uncultured Neocallimastigales
Lineage: Eukaryota; Fungi; Neocallimastigomycota; Neocallimastigomycetes; Neocallimastigales
Description: partial large subunit ribosomal RNA
Rfam family: Eukaryotic large subunit ribosomal RNA
Source: RNAcentral
UACGACUACAUAUCAGGCAUAUCAAUAAGCGGAGGAAAAGAAACUAACUAGGAUUCCCUUAGUAACGGCGAGUGAAGCGGGAAGAGCUCAAAUUUGAAAUCUUCAAGGUUCUACCUUGACGAAUUGUAGUUUAAAGAAGUGUUUUCUGUUGGAGUUUUGGUAAAAGUUCUUUGGAAUAGGACAUCAUAGAGGGUGAGAAUCCCGUAUUUGACCAUUUCUUCCAGCUGUGUGAUACACUUUCAAAGAGUCGGAUUGUUUGGGAAUGCAGUCCAAAAUGGGUGGUAAAUUUCAUCUAAAGCUAAAUAUUGGCGAGAGACCGAUAGCGAACAAGUACCGUGAGGGAAAGAUGAAAAGAACUUUGAAAAGAGAGUUAAACAGUACGUGAAAUUGUCAAAAGGGAAGCGUUUGACACCAGUGUUGUUUUCUCGAAAAUCAAUUAAAAAUGGUGGGAUUUUCGUGUUGUAUUGACUUUAUCAGCUUUCUGCACUUUUUUCCUGUCUUUUUUAAUGCACUUUUCGUUUAACAAGUCAACAUCAAUUUCUUUUGUUGUAAAAGAGUCAUUGGAAGGUGGCUUUCACUUCGGUGAAAGUGUUUAUAGCCUUUGACUUCUGCAAUCGGAGAGAUUGAGGUCUGCAGCGUAGAUCCUUCGGGGUUAGAUACAUUUGUGCUAAGUUAUAGUUUUUCAUAGACAACAUGUUGACUAUGAUUAAUCAUGUGGCUUACUCGCUUAUGCUAUUUUACCUACGCUUAGGAUGUUGACGCGCGUGUGUGCGUG